Molecule: ribosomal RNA, 683 nt
Filed under: uncultured Actinomycetales bacterium
Lineage: Bacteria; Bacillati; Actinomycetota; Actinomycetes; Actinomycetales
Description: bacterial SSU rRNA
Rfam family: Bacterial small subunit ribosomal RNA
Source: RNAcentral
GAACGGAAAGGCCCUGCUUGCAGGGUACUCGAGUGGCGAACGGGUGAGUAACACGUGGGUGAUCUGCCCUGCACUUCGGGAUAAGCCUGGGAAACUGGGUCUAAUACCGGAUAGGAGCCAUUUUUAGUGUGAUGGUUGGAAAGUUUUUUCGGUGUAGGAUGAGCUCGCGGCCUAUCAGUUUGUUGGUGGGGUAAUGGCCUACCAAGGCGGCGACGGGUAGCCGGCCUGAGAGGGUGGACGGCCACAUUGGGACUGAGAUACGGCCCAGACUCCUACGGGAGGCAGCAGUGGGGAAUAUUGCACAAUGGGCGCAAGCCUGAUGCAGCGACGCCGCGUGGGGGAUGACGGCCUUCGGGUUGUAAACUCCUUUCGCUAGGGACGAAGCUUUUUGUGACGGUACCUAGAUAAGAAGCACCGGGUAACUACGUGCCAGCAGCCGCGGUAAUACGUAGGGUGCGAGCGUUGUCCGGAAUUACUGGGCGUAAAGGGCUCGUAGGUGGUUUGUCGCGUCGUCUGUGAAAUUCCGGGGCUUAACUCCGGGCGUGCAGGCGAUACGGGCAUAACUUGAGUACUGUAGGGGUAACUGGAAUUCCUGGUGUAGCGGUGAAAUGCGCAGAUAUCAGGAGGAACACCGAUGGCGAAGGCAGGUUACUGGGCAGUUACUGACGCUGAGGAGCGAAAGC